UACGUAGGGGGCUAGCGUUGUCCGGAAUCAUUGGGCGUAAAGCGCGUGUAGGCGGCCCGGUAAGUCCGCUGUGAAAGUCGGGGGCUCAACCCUCGGAAGCCGGUGGAUACUGUCGGGCUGGAGUACGGAAGAGGCGAGUGGAAUUCCUGGGUGCAGCGGUGAAAUGCGCAGAUAUCAGGAGGAACACCUAUUGCGAAGGCAGCUCGCUGGGACGUUACUGACGCUGAGACGCGAAAGCGUGGGGAGCAAACAGG
RNAcentral lists this ribosomal RNA (254 nucleotides) under uncultured bacterium. RNAcentral's name for it is "partial 16S ribosomal RNA". It matches the Rfam family "Bacterial small subunit ribosomal RNA", at positions 524 to 776 of the family's 1533-position model. The record is from RNAcentral.